UGGUCUGAGAGGAUGAUCUCCACACUGGGACUGAGACACGGCCCAGACUCCUGCGGGAGGCAGCAGUGGGGAAUAUUGGACAAUGGGCGAAAGCCUGAUCCAGCAAUGCCGCGUGAGUGAUGAAGGCCUUAGGGUUGUAAAGCUCUUUUACCCGGAAAGAUUAUGACUGUACCAUGAGAAUAAGCCCCGGCUAACUCCGUGCCACCACCCCCGGUAAUCCGGAGGGGGCUAGCGUUAUUCGGAAUUACUGGGCGUAAAGCGUACGUAGGCGGUGGUUCAAGUCAGAGGUGAAAGCCCGGAGCUCAGCUACGGAACUGCCUUUGAAACUAGAUGGCUGGAACAUCCGAUAGGUAAUUGGAAUUCCGAGUGUAGAGGUGAAAUUCGUAGAUAUUCGGAAGAACACCAGUGCGCGAAGGCAGCAUACUGGACGAUUGUUAACGCUCAGGUACAGAAAGCGUGGGGAGCAAACAGGAUUAGAUACUCUGGUAGUUCCACGCCCUAACGAUGAUCACUAGCUGUUGGGCCUCAUAGACGCUCAGUGGCGCAGCUAACGGAUUUCGUUAUCCGCCUGUGGAGUACGGUCUCUAGAUUAAACUCAGAGGAAUUGACGGGGUCCUGCACAAGCGGUGGAGCAUGUAGUUAAUUCGAAGCACGCGCAUACCUUACAGCGUUUGACAUGGCAGACGACUUCCACAGAUGAUAUCUUCCUUCGGGACUACACACAGGUCUUCUGGCUG
This 737-nucleotide ribosomal RNA is filed under the name Sphingomonas sp. UYEF37. RNAcentral describes it as "bacterial SSU rRNA". It matches the Rfam family "Bacterial small subunit ribosomal RNA", at positions 288 to 1051 of the family's 1533-position model. Lineage: Bacteria; Pseudomonadati; Pseudomonadota; Alphaproteobacteria; Sphingomonadales; Sphingomonadaceae. The record is from RNAcentral.